Molecule: ribosomal RNA, 333 nt
Filed under: Triticum aestivum (bread wheat)
Lineage: Eukaryota; Viridiplantae; Streptophyta; Magnoliopsida; Poales; Poaceae
Description: partial small subunit ribosomal RNA
Source: RNAcentral
AUGAUGGAUCUUCUGUCCACCAGUGCCACAUCAAUUCCUAGAAAUAAAUUUAAAUCUUUUGAAGGUAGUGAUAUGUGUGAGUUGGUGAAGAAGUAUUGCCCAGCAGAUUUUAGUCAACAAGACGUGUAUGGCUUGGAAAACCAACGAAAACUCUUUGUUCCUGAUGCUUCCAGUGAUGUAGAGUUGAAAAAUAUAUCAACAUUGACUGACCUUUGCCAACUCCUUGUUGAGACUGGAAGAGAUAGAAUCUACCAUCUAAUUGACAGGCUACUCCGUCUACUUGUUACUCUUCCAGUUUCUACAGCUAGUGCUGAACGAGCAUUUCCAGUUUGA